This 461-nucleotide ribosomal RNA is filed under the name Veillonella parvula. Its description in RNAcentral is "bacterial SSU rRNA". It matches the Rfam family "Bacterial small subunit ribosomal RNA", at positions 28 to 465 of the family's 1533-position model. The record is from RNAcentral. Lineage: Bacteria; Bacillati; Bacillota; Negativicutes; Veillonellales; Veillonellaceae.
GACGAACGCUGGCGGCGUGCUUAACACAUGCAAGUCGAACGAAGAGCGAUGGAAGCUUGCUUCUAUCAAUCUUAGUGGCGAACGGGUGAGUAACGCGUAAUCAGCCUGCCCUUCAGAGGGGGACAACAGUUGGAAACGACUGCUAAUACCGCAUACGAUCUAAUCUCGGCAUCGAGGAUAGAUGAAAGGUGGCCUCUACAUGUAAGCUAUCACUGAAGGAGGGGAUUGCGUCUGAUUAGCUAGUUGGAGGGGUAACGGCCCACCAAGGCGAUGAUCAGUAGCCGGUCUGAGAGGAUGAACGGCCACAUUGGGACUGAGACACGGCCCAGACUCCUACGGGAGGCAGCAGUGGGGAAUCUUCCGCAAUGGACGAAAGUCUGACGGAGCAACGCCGCGUGAGUGAUGACGGCCUUCGGGUUGUAAAGCUCUGUUAAUCGGGACGAAAGGCCUUCUUGCGAAUA